This 585-nucleotide long non-coding RNA is filed under the name Nicotiana benthamiana. RNAcentral's name for it is "long non-coding RNA (NBEN_LNC016624)". The record is from RNAcentral. Lineage: Eukaryota; Viridiplantae; Streptophyta; Magnoliopsida; Solanales; Solanaceae.
GUAACUCAGCUUCACUGUAGCGUGCGUGAACAGUGCAUUUCCGUCACUAUUCUCACCGGAAUCCGGUGGCGGAUUAUUACAAUUUUGGUGUCUCCACACUCUCCUUCGUGAGGUGAACACCUUCCUCUUAUUGUUUUUCUAAAAUCAUAAUCCAAACGCAACAGAUCUUAAAUUUUUCAUUUCUUACUGUUCAUUCAAAUUCUGGUUCGUUCUGUUGAAUCUCUCGGCUUGCUAACUAAUUUUUUGGAUUCGAAUCUAUAUACAUCUACAAUCAUACGACCUCCAGAUCGUUUGUUCACAACAUUUCUUUCGUUUGUCCAAAAUGAUGUAUGAUCUCGUGUCUCAUUGGUAGUAUCUUGAAGAGUUCACGCGAUUUUGGCAGCCAUGUCUGCGCAGAUCUCUCCCCAGCCUUUGGCUGUGGGAGAGAUUGUUCAAAAUUCCGUAACUACAACUUCAAAAGAAUUUGAAUAACCAUCGUAUGCAUCUGUUACUCAAACUAAGCAGACAGUUUCGACAAAGAUCGAGCUUUGUGCAGUCAACUUCGAACAUGAGCAUCCUGUAAUCCAAUUCACAAUGAAAGAUAUU